Molecule: transfer RNA, 81 nt
Filed under: Picocystis salinarum
Lineage: Eukaryota; Viridiplantae; Chlorophyta; Picocystophyceae; Picocystales; Picocystaceae
Rfam family: tRNA
About the family: Transfer RNA (tRNA) molecules are approximately 80 nucleotides in length. Their secondary structure includes four short double-helical elements and three loops (D, anti-codon, and T loops).
Source: RNAcentral
GAAGGAUGGCCGAGUGGUUUAAGGCAGUUGUCUUGAAAACAACCGUAGUGCUCCUACCGAGGGUUCGAAUCCCUCUCCUUC